Molecule: long non-coding RNA, 494 nt
Organism: Mercurialis annua (annual mercury)
Lineage: Eukaryota; Viridiplantae; Streptophyta; Magnoliopsida; Malpighiales; Euphorbiaceae
Exons: 4
Source: RefSeq, a predicted model, not a curated record
CUUUAAACCCUAGCCGUCAUUAUACCCUGGAAUCUCCUGAAGAAAACGUAGUAAAUCCUCUUCAAAAAUCUGCCGUUCACUCCAAAUUUCGUUCCGUUUGAUUCCUGAGAUUGUAGACUCAGCCAUCUACAAGUCCGAGCUUAGUUUUCACACAACGCCGUUCGGAGGUCGAAAUCAAUUCCGUUCAUUCCCCGUGAAAGUAGACUCACGCCUCUACGAUUCAACACUUUCCUCUCGUCAAACGACCCGUCGACUGCUCGUGCUUCGGAGUCUACGCAGGGUUAGCUGUUUGCCAAGAUCACGUGGAUAAGCAAGCAGUUUAUGAUUUGAAAGCUAGUUCACUCCGAUUCUUUUGAUUCCUCGGAGGUUUUCAUGUUAUUAAACUAGUUUCUGUUUUCGAACUCUUAGACCGCAGUAGAACUAGUUAUUUAUUUCAUUUGAUAUUUCACUUUGGAUUUGUCGAUAUAUUCGAUUAUUUAUAUUUGGCAUGAUUA